This 467-nucleotide ribosomal RNA is filed under the name uncultured bacterium. Its description in RNAcentral is "partial 16S ribosomal RNA". It matches the Rfam family "Bacterial small subunit ribosomal RNA", at positions 29 to 507 of the family's 1533-position model. The record is from RNAcentral.
ACGAACGCUGGCGGCGUGCUUAACACAUGCAAGUCGAACGGAAAGGCCCUGCUUUUGUGGGGUGCUCGAGUGGCGAACGGGUGAGUAACACGUGAGUAACCUGCCCUUGACUUUGGGAUAACUUCAGGAAACUGGGGCUAAUACCGGAUAGGAGCUCCUGCUGCAUGGUGGGGGUUGGAAAGUUUCGGCGGUUGGGGAUGGACUCGCGGCUUAUCAGCUUGUUGGUGGGGUAGUGGCUUACCAAGGCUUUGACGGGUAGCCGGCCUGAGAGGGUGACCGGCCACAUUGGGACUGAGAUACGGCCCAGACUCCUACGGGAGGCAGCAGUGGGGAAUAUUGCACAAUGGGCGGAAGCCUGAUGCAGUAACGCCGCGUGCGGGAUGACGGCCCUCGGGUUGUAAACCGCUUUCGCCUGUGACGAAGCGUGAGUGACGGUAAUGGGUAAAGAAGCACCGGCUAACUACGUG